RNAcentral lists this ribosomal RNA (392 nucleotides) under uncultured bacterium. RNAcentral describes it as "bacterial SSU rRNA". It matches the Rfam family "Bacterial small subunit ribosomal RNA", at positions 28 to 419 of the family's 1533-position model. The record is from RNAcentral.
GACGAACGCUGGCGGCGUGCUUAACACAUGCAAGUCGAGCGGUAAGGCCCUUUCGGGGGUACACGAGCGGCGAACGGGUGAGUAACACGUGGGUGACCUGCCCUCAACUCUGGGAUAAGCCUGGGAAACCGGGUCUAAUACUGGAUAUGACUCCAUGACGCAUGUUGUGGGGUGGAAAGCCUUGUGCGGCUGAGGAUGGGCCCGCGGCCUAUCAGCUUGUUGGUGGGGUGAUGGCCUACCAAGGCGACGACGGGUAGCCGGCCUGAGAGGGCGACCGGCCACACUGGGACUGAGACACGGCCCAGGACUCCUACGGGAGGCAGCAGUGGGGAAUCGUUGCGCAAUGGGCGAAAGCCUGACGCAGCGACGCCGCGUGAGGGAUGACGGCCUGG